ACCCCUGCAAGUCGAGCGGAUGACGGGAGCUUGUUCCUUGAUUCAGCGGCGGACGGGUGAGUAAUGCCUAGGAAUCUGCCUGGUAGUGGGGGACAACGUUUCGAAAGGAACGCUAAUACCGCAUACGUCCUACGGGAGAAAGCAGGGGACCUUCGGGCCUUGCGCUAUCAGAUGAGCCUAGGUCGGAUUAGCUAGUUGGUGGGGUAAUGGCUCACCAAGGCGACGAUCCGUAACUGGUCUGAGAGGAUGAUCAGUCACACUGGAACUGAGACACGGUCCAGACUCCUACGGGAGGCAGCAGUGGGGAAUAUUGGACAAUGGGCGAAAGCCUGAUCCAGCCAUGCCGCGUGUGUGAAGAAGGUCUUCGGAUUGUAAAGCACUUUAAGUUGGGAGGAAGGGCAGUAAGCUAAUACCUUGCUGUUUUGACGUUACCGACAGAAUAAGCACCGGCUAACUCUGUGCCAGCAGCCGCGGUAAUACAGAGGGUGCAAGCGUUAAUCGGAAUUACUGGGCGUAAAGCGCGCGUAGGUGGUUUCGUUAAGUUGGAUGUGAAAGCCCCGGGCUCAACCUGGGCACCUGCAUCCAAAACUGGGCGAGCUAGAGUACGGUAGAGGGUGGUGGAAUUUUCCUGUGUAGCGGUGAAUUGCGUAGAUAUAGGAAGGAACACCUUGGCGAAGGUUACCUCCUGGACUGAUACUGACCCUGAGGCGCCAAAGCGUGGGAACAACAGGAUAAGAUACCCUGUAGUCCCGCCGUAACGAUGUCAACUAGUCGUCGGAUUCCUUGAGAUUUUA
This 794-nucleotide ribosomal RNA is filed under the name uncultured bacterium. RNAcentral describes it as "bacterial SSU rRNA". It matches the Rfam family "Bacterial small subunit ribosomal RNA", at positions 51 to 842 of the family's 1533-position model. The record is from RNAcentral.